UGAGCAACCGAGUGAGACCCUGUCUCUAAAUAAAGAAAUAAACGUAAUACAUGUUUUUGGUAUAAAAUUUGGAAAACAAAAAAAAGUAAAGAAGAAAAUUAAGCCCACUCAACCAAUGUGGGACUGGGCAUGAUGGAUAUGCCACCUGGGUUUUGGAAGUAGUAUUUUUGGAGAUCCUGGUUGGCUUGUGGAGAGGAGGGGCUCAGCAGAUGGUUAACAAGUCCCCCUCAGCUGGCCAUCUGCUGGCUCAUUCAGCAGAUGUGUUCUGAAGGCCCAAAUUGAAAGGGAGAAUACCUGAGGACACAUAGGCCCCAGCCUGCCCAGCCUGCUUGGUAAAUUGGCCACAAUCUGAUCCUCUGCCUCACGCACACUCCUUUUAGGAGUGUGACAAGAUGAAACUGUAGAAAUCAAUGUCAGGGCUUAGGUAUUACUUCUGUGGUUUGUGACUUCUCUUGCAGAAUUCACGUAUUUCAUGGUGUUGGACUCAGGUAACCUAGGGCAUCUCUCCCCACUCUUGCCUACCCAUGCCUCUGCCCUCUGCCCUGGACUCCACUGAGGUUGGCUUCCGUGGUCUGCCUCUUACUGACCUCCUGGGUUUCUCCUUGACCCUUUGGGUUGACAAGUGAAUGCUUCCCGACUCCCACUGUCCAGGCCCAGGGGCCUGGGAGCUAUUCUGGACUCAGAGGUGAUGUGUCCAUCCCCUAAGGUCCUUGAUCAUCUCAUAACUGACCUCUGAGGCCAGGUUUUGAUGUCAUGUUCUCGGCCGUGUGCCCCCUAUCCUGAGCACCACAUCCUGCGGUGCGCAGGGGGAGUGGGGGACAGGCGGGUCUCAGCAGCACAGCGUCUCCACACACUCAGUUCACAAAGCGUCUCCAAAUCCAUUCGCAAGGAAGUAAGGUGCUUGCCAAAGUGCUGGGCACGGGGUGGUACAGUGAAGACUCACCAGGACUUUGUAUAAGCAGCCCUGAAGCAGGAGACUAGGAGUAGAGGAGUUUAAUUAGCCACACGAAAAUGAGGAGAAUAAGGAAAGAAAGGAGAAGAGAAGGCAGAUCUGGGGUUUGAACCCAGUGUCAUCCACUCUGAAACUUCCCACGUUGCCCACUGCACUCCAGUGCCUUGAAGGGACUAGUACCCAGGGGGCUUUGCAGGCCAUGUCUGUUAUCCAUUAUUCCCAUUGAAUGUCCUAAGUAACAGAGGGUAAAACAUUGGGAUUUACAAAUAAAUCCAGGGAGGAAUGAGACAGGACCAUGGAGGGACAGCUUGGAUUGUUUUUGUCUUUCUUCAAAGAUCCCACGGGCUGGAUCGACCAGGGUACCAGAUGAAUGGUUUAAGAGCCCCAGUGAGACCAACAGCCAUGUAGAGAGGCCAUUUGCUUGGGCCCUGUAGUUUCCAGAUACCUUCCAGGAGGUGCACCCUCCGCAGACCGUAGAUCCACUCACUCAACCAUCACCCACCCGUCCAGCACAAGGGCCGCCUCGGUCCUGGCAUAGCUGUCCAAAGGGUGCACUGAACAGCUGCUGACAAAGGGUCAUUGUAACCCCAGUGGUCAGGAGUUCAAAGCCAGCCUCAAUAAAAGCAAGGCACUGAGUGACUCAGUGAAAACCUGUCUCUAAAUAAAAUACCAAAUAGGGCAGGAGAUGUGGCUCAGUGGGUGAGUGCCCCUCAGUUCAAUCCCUGGUACCCCCCGCCAAAAAAAGAAAGGGUCACUGAGCUCAUGGAGUCCGAGUCCACAAGUGGGAGGUCAAAGAAAAUAGUAGCAGGGCUUACAGGAGUGGCCUGUCACUUUCCAGGAAGCCAUCUGAGUGCAGGGCCGACCUUCCCCAGCACCGGAACUGCUAAAGAUGUGUGUGUUGUGUCCCCCUGUGCUGACCUAAAGCACGGUGAGGGUGUGAGUGUAGAGACUUGGGAAACUGCAGAGGACCCAGCACUGCUGCUCCUGUGGUGUGGCUUUCGAUGGCUUCUUAUUCUUUUCUUCUGUCUUUUAGACUGUGGGAUUCUAGAACACACAGAGUCCAGCCUUGUGACCAAAGAGUGUUUAUGGCAGUGAAUUAAUCUGUUCCUUCUGGGUUCCCAGCAAUGGCACAGGCCUUCUGUAAGCUGUGUAGGAAUUCUGUAAGGAGCUGUUUCUGUCACUGGCACAAAGUGUGCACAGCAAAGAUGUCCAGGACAGGAGCUUCUGCAGCCAUGUGUGUGUGUGUGUGUGUGUGUGUGCACAAGGGUGCACAUCGAAUGCAUGCAGCAUUGUGUGUGUGUGGCAUGAGAACAGGGCUGAACGCCAGACUGCUGUGUCGGAAGAGGGUCAAGUGUCCUCACUAAUUCUGUGCCUCAGGCUCUUGGUAACCAAGACUGCUUAUUCUGUCUCCAAACCACAUUCAGAACCAGCUGACCAGGACAGAUUCCCUUGGACAUGUGCCAUUCUUAAAGCCAAAUCAUUCUUUUAGGAGAAAAAGACAGAGAAAUGACUAUGAAAGUGCUAAGUUUAAGCCGAGAGUGGCGGCACACAGGUGUGAUCUGAUUCAGGAGGCUGACGGGAAGAUCCCAAGUUCGAGGCCAGCUUCAGCAACUUAGCAAGACUCUGUCUCAAAAUAAAAAACAAAAAGAACUGGGGGUGUAGCUCAGUGGUAGAGUACCCCUGGGUUCAAUCCCCAGUACCAGGGCAGGUUGCCAAUUUUAGAAGAAAAUUUAUGUAAGCAUGAAGAAGGAAAUUAGAACAUGCCAAGAGGCAGCAAAGGUCAGGAAUCAAGUUAAAGAUGUGGCUUCUGCCCUCCACAGGUCUUUUUCCUUCUUGGGGAGGUGAGGGCACCUGCCCUCAGAACCAGCACAACAUAGUCCAUCCUGAAACGUGUGGGGCAGCCGGUUCCCCUUGGGUGGGGAAAAGACUUCACUUGCCCCAAGGGGAACCUGGGCUGUGUAAGGGAAAGAACAGUGGCCCAGGAGUGGGGUGCAUGCAGGGGCUUGUCUGGGGCUUGGGCCUGCACAGGACUUCUCAAGUUGUAGUUUCUCCCUCUGUAAAUGGGAAUCAUGAGACCCGGCUCCCAUAUGACAGAGGGACUGGAUGGGUCCAAUGGGAGUGCUGCCAGCUCUUUGCAAGAUUACCAAGGCACCACACUUGUUGCCAUGGAAAAUGCAGAAGGCGGAGGGUCUGAGCUCAGAUACUGGCUCUGGCCUGUAUGGCUGAAGAACUGGGCACCACCCAUUCAUUUUUCAUAACCUGGUCUGGAAUGGAGAUGAUGAGCCCCAGAGGGUAAAGGAGGCUUGGCCAAAGUCAGAUGUGAAGGAGCUUUGAAAUGCAACAGAGCGCUGUCCACCCAGAGGCCAUGGUGAAACUCCAGCUUUGGACUGGGCCAUCUUCAGGGCCCACCUCGCAACAGAACCCUAAGUGGAAGGUGUAUUUUGGAAGAGGCAGGCAGAGGGUGAUUAUGUGGGUCAGUUCUUGGACAGGCUUCUCUCAGGAAAACAAAUGGGCAACUCAAAAGCAUACUCUGCCAGUGUCCUUGCUAACCUGGUUGCUGAGUCUGCUUAGCUCCACUCAGAACCCUCCCCGCCUCUGUGGUCUCUAGAGUAUUUCCAAUUCCACUGACCUGGUAGGCCUUUCCUUCCAACCCUGGGGUAUUUCCAAGGACGCUGUGUCCUCUCAAUAAAGGAGGUCUGUCCACAGGGGUCAGAACUUCACUGUCACUGAUCCUGCUCAGGAAAGACCUGUGCAGACCUGAAUGGAGAGGGAUUUGCAUGGUCAAACCAACCAGCCAUGGGAUCAUGUUUUGCCCUUGCACAGAGCACUUCAGGGCCUCUGGAACAUUUCCCUUCUUACAUCCCAGUUCUUUCCCUCUACAACAUCCCAGGAAGGAAGAGUGAGCAAGAAAUAGAGCAGGUAGGGAGGAGGAGAUACAGCCCGUUGGGGGGGGGGGGUGAAGCCCUGGGUGAUGCAGAGUACGUCCAUGGUGUUGGCUAAUUAGACAAUAUUUAUAAUUGGGUUUUAUAUAUUUAAUAAUUUGUGUUUAUGUAUAUUGUAUAAUUUGUAUAUAUUUAAU
RNAcentral lists this long non-coding RNA (4031 nucleotides) under Marmota monax (woodchuck). The record is from RNAcentral. Lineage: Eukaryota; Metazoa; Chordata; Mammalia; Rodentia; Sciuridae.